Molecule: unclassified non-coding RNA, 342 nt
Filed under: soil metagenome
Description: partial contains 5.8S ribosomal RNA, internal transcribed spacer 2, and large subunit ribosomal RNA
Rfam family: 5.8S ribosomal RNA (bases 1-120)
Source: RNAcentral
GAUGAAGAACGUAGCGAAAUGCGAUAAGUAGUGUGAAUUGCAGAAUUCAGUGAAUCAUCGAAUCUUUGAACGCACAUUGCGCCCUUUGGUAUUCCAAAGGGCAUGCCUGUUCGAGCGUCAUUUGUACCCUCAAGCUUUGCUUGGUGUUGGGCGUCUUGUCUCUAGCUUUGCUGGAGACUCGCCUUAAAGUAAUUGGCAGCCGGCCUACUGGUUUCGGAGCGCAGCACAAGUCGCACUCUCUAUCAGCAAAGGUCUAGCAUCCAUUAAGCCUUUUUUUCAACUUUUGACCUCGGAUCAGGUAGGGAUACCCGCUGAACUUAAGCAUAUCAAUAAGCGGGAGGA